RNAcentral lists this ribosomal RNA (1491 nucleotides) under uncultured Gammaproteobacteria bacterium. Its description in RNAcentral is "bacterial SSU rRNA". It matches the Rfam family "Bacterial small subunit ribosomal RNA". Lineage: Bacteria; Pseudomonadati; Pseudomonadota; Gammaproteobacteria. The record is from RNAcentral.
AGAGUUUGAUCCUGGCUCAGAUUGAACGCUGGCGGCAGGCCUAACACAUGCAAGUCGAGCGGUAGAGAGAAGCUUGCUUCUCUUGAGAGCGGCGGACGGGUGAGUAAUGCCUAGGAAUCUGCCUGGUAGUGGGGGAUAACGUUCGGAAACGGACGCUAAUACCGCAUACGUCCUACGAGAGAAAGCAGGGGACCUUCGGGCCUUGCGCUAUCAGAUGAGCCUAGGUCGGAUUAGCUAGUUGGUGAGGUAAUGGCUCACCAAGGCGACGAUCCGUAACUGGUCUGAGAGGAUGAUCAGUCACACUGGAACUGAGACACGGUCCAGACUCCUACGGGAGGCAGCAGUGGGGAAUAUUGGACAAUGGGCGAAAGCCUGAUCCAGCCAUGCCGCGUGUGUGAAGAAGGUCUUCGGAUUGUAAAGCACUUUAAGUUGGGAGGAAGGGUUGUAGAUUAAUACUCUGCAAUUUUGACGUUACCGACAGAAUAAGCACCGGCUAACUCUGUGCCAGCAGCCGCGGUAAUACAGAGGGUGCAAGCGUUAAUCGGAAUUACUGGGCGUAAAGCGCGCGUAGGUGGUUUGUUAAGUUGGAUGUGAAAUCCCCGGGCUCAACCUGGGAACUGCAUUCAAAACUGACUGACUAGAGUAUGGUAGAGGGUGGUGGAAUUUCCUGUGUAGCGGUGAAAUGCGUAGAUAUAGGAAGGAACACCAGUGGCGAAGGCGACCACCUGGACUAAUACUGACACUGAGGUGCGAAAGCGUGGGGAGCAAACAGGAUUAGAUACCCUGGUAGUCCACGCCGUAAACGAUGUCAACUAGCCGUUGGAAGCCUUGAGCUUUUAGUGGCGCAGCUAACGCAUUAAGUUGACCGCCUGGGGAGUACGGCCGCAAGGUUAAAACUCAAAUGAAUUGACGGGGGCCCGCACAAGCGGUGGAGCAUGUGGUUCAAUUCGAAGCAACGCGAAGAACCUUACCAGGCCUUGACAUCCAAUGAACUUUCUAGAGAUAGAUUGGUGCCUUCGGGAACAUUGAGACAGGUGCUGCAUGGCUGUCGUCAGCUCGUGUCGUGAGAUGUUGGGUUAAGUCCCGUAACGAGCGCAACCCUUGUCCUUAGUUACCAGCACGUCAUGGUGGGCACUCUAAGGAGACUGCCGGUGACAAACCGGAGGAAGGUGGGGAUGACGUCAAGUCAUCAUGGCCCUUACGGCCUGGGCUACACACGUGCUACAAUGGUCGGUACAGAGGGUUGCCAAGCCGCGAGGUGGAGCUAAUCCCAUAAAACCGAUCGUAGUCCGGAUCGCAGUCUGCAACUCGACUGCGUGAAGUCGGAAUCGCUAGUAAUCGCGAAUCAGAAUGUCGCGGUGAAUACGUUCCCGGGCCUUGUACACACCGCCCGUCACACCAUGGGAGUGGGUUGCACCAGAAGUAGCUAGUCUAACCUUCGGGAGGACGGUUACCACGGUGUGAUUCAUGACUGGGGUGAAGUCGUAACAA